RNAcentral lists this ribosomal RNA (254 nucleotides) under uncultured bacterium. Its description in RNAcentral is "partial 16S ribosomal RNA". It matches the Rfam family "Bacterial small subunit ribosomal RNA", at positions 524 to 776 of the family's 1533-position model. The record is from RNAcentral.
GACGAACCGUGCGAACGUUAUUCGGAAUCACUGGGCUUAAAGCGCGUGUAGGCGGGAGGGCACGUCCGUCGCUGAAAUCCCCCGGCUCAACCGGGGAACGGGCGCGGAUACGACCUUCCUGGAGGGGCGUAGGGGGACCUGGAACUUCCGGUGGAGCGGUGAAAUGCGUUGAGAUCGGAAGGAACGCCCGUGGCGAAAGCGAGGUCCUGGACGUCUACUGACGCUGAGGCACGAAAGCUAGGGGAGCAAACAGG